This 406-nucleotide ribosomal RNA is filed under the name uncultured bacterium. RNAcentral describes it as "partial 16S ribosomal RNA". It matches the Rfam family "Bacterial small subunit ribosomal RNA", at positions 29 to 526 of the family's 1533-position model. The record is from RNAcentral.
AUUGAACGCUGGCGGCAGGCCUAACACAUGCAAGUCGAACGAGUGGCGGACGGGUGAGUAAUGUCUGGGAAACUGCCUGAUGGAGGGGGAUCACCACUGGAAACGGUAGCUAAUACCGCAUACCCUCAAAUGUGCCCAGAUGGGAUUGGCUAGUGGGUGGGGGAACGGCUCACCAAGGCGACGAUCCCUAGCUGGGUUGAGAGGAUGACCAGCCCCACUGGAACGGAGACACGGUCCAGACUCCUACGGAAGGCAGCAGUGGGGAAUAUUGCACAAUGGGCGCAAGCCGGAUGCAGCCAUGCCGCGUGUAUGAAGAAGGCCUUCGGGUUGUAAAGUACUUUCAGCGGGGAGGCGUUACCCGCAGAAGAAGCACCGGCUAACUCCGUGCCAGCAGCCGCGGUAAUAC